CCUACGGGUGGCUGCCGUGAUGAAUAUUGGUAAAUGGACGAGAGUCUGAACCAUCCAAUUCGCGUGAAGGAUGACUGCCCUAUGGGUUGUAAACUUCUUUUAUAUGGGAAUACAAUGUUCCACGUGUGGGAUUUUGUAUGUACCAUAUGAAUUAGGAUAGGCUAAAUCCGUGCCAGCAGCCGCGGUAAUACGGAGAAUCCGAGAGUUAUGCGGAUUUAUUGGGUUUAAAGGGAUCGUAGGGGGAUUGUUAAGUCAGUUGUGAAAGUUUGCGGUGCAACCGUAAAAUUGCAGUUGAAACUGGAAGUCUUGAGUACAGUAGAGGUGGGCGGAAUUCGUGGUGUAGCGGUGAAAUGCU
This 355-nucleotide ribosomal RNA is filed under the name uncultured bacterium. Its description in RNAcentral is "partial 16S ribosomal RNA". It matches the Rfam family "Bacterial small subunit ribosomal RNA", at positions 338 to 690 of the family's 1533-position model. The record is from RNAcentral.